This 253-nucleotide ribosomal RNA is filed under the name uncultured bacterium. RNAcentral's name for it is "partial 16S ribosomal RNA". It matches the Rfam family "Bacterial small subunit ribosomal RNA", at positions 524 to 776 of the family's 1533-position model. The record is from RNAcentral.
GACAUAGGGGGCAAGCGUUGUUCGGAAUUACUGGGCGUAAAGGGAGCGUAGGCGGGAGAUUAAGUUAAGAGUGAAAGCCUUGGGCUCAACCCAAGAAAUGCUCUUAAUACUGGUUUUCUAGAGUGUGGGAGAGGUAAGUGGAAUUCCUAGUGUAGCGGUAGAAUGCGUAGAGAUUAGGAAGAACACCAGUGGCGAAGGCGACUUACUGGACUGUAACUGACGCUGAGGCAUGAGAGCAUGGGGAGCAAACAGG